RNAcentral lists this unclassified non-coding RNA (245 nucleotides) under plant metagenome. RNAcentral's name for it is "partial contains small subunit ribosomal RNA and internal transcribed spacer 1". The stretch from base 1 to 46 matches the Rfam family "Eukaryotic small subunit ribosomal RNA", at positions 1786 to 1831 of the family's 1831-position model. The record is from RNAcentral.
AAGUCGUAACAAGGUUUCCGUAGGUGAACCUGCGGAAGGAUCAUUAUCGUAAACAAAGGCCAUGGUUCUGCUGUCGCUGGCCCCCUUUGCGGGGGGCAUGUGCACGCCCGUGGUCGCAUCCUUCACACCCCCCUGUGCACCUCUGCGUGGGUUCGUCGGCUUGCGCCCUCGAGCCCGCGUCUUAUACCAUAUACACCUGUAUGUCCUCAGAAUGUCUACAUGCGAUGAAAAAGCAUUUAAUACAA